GCGCCCGUAGCUCAAUGGAUAGAGCAUCGGUCUUCGGAACCGAGGGUUGGGAGUUCGAGUCUCUCCGGGCGCGCCA
RNAcentral lists this transfer RNA (76 nucleotides) under Nitrospirales bacterium. Its description in RNAcentral is "tRNA-Arg". It matches the Rfam family "tRNA". From Rfam's summary of the family: Transfer RNA (tRNA) molecules are approximately 80 nucleotides in length. Their secondary structure includes four short double-helical elements and three loops (D, anti-codon, and T loops). Lineage: Bacteria; Pseudomonadati; Nitrospirota; Nitrospiria; Nitrospirales. The record is from RNAcentral.